AUAUUUAAAUUUGUGUAUUAAAAGUUUUUUUGCUUUGGGGUUUCAGAAAAAUUUGGGUUAAAUGUAAGUUUUAGCGGUAAAAGGGGGUAAUUUAAAUAAUAAGUCUGGGUUGAAUUGGCAGUUACUAAUAUUAAAUAUUCGAGGGGUCGAGAUUUAGUGGGGGUUUUAGUAUAAACAAAAUUUGUGCCAGCAGUUGCGGUUACACAAAUUAUGCAAUGAAAGCUUGUUGGGGGUAGUUAAUUGAGAAGAAGAAGAAGGGGUUAGAUUAAUAAAAAUUUUAUUAGGUGAAAUUUUAAGAUUUUGGAGGUCUAAAGAAGAUUAAUGAGGCUAGUAAAUUUUACAAAAAACUAGGAUUAGAUACCCUAUUAUAAAAAUUAAAAUUUAUACCCUAAAUUAUUAGUAGUUAAGUUCUUUAAAAUUAAUAUAAAUGGCGGUAUUUUAGUCCAUUCAGAGGAAUCUGCCCUGUAAUUGAUAGUCCACGAUUUAAUUUACUUGAAUUUUUAGCUUAUAUAUCGCUGUAGAUUAAAUAUUUUCGUUGAAUUUAAAUAUUUAUAGUUUUGAGAGAAAGAACAUCAAGUCAAGAUGUAGCCUAUAUUCAAGCAGAGGUGGAUUACACUAUUAGUAAAUGUGGUUAAUAGCAUGAAAGAGCUAUUAUAAAAUGGAUUUGAAAGUAAUUUUUUAAUAAAAUUUGAAAAAUGAUUUUGGCUCUAGGAUACGUACAUAUCGCCCGUCGCUUCCAUAAUAAGGUGGAAUAAGUCGUAACAAAGUAGAUGUACUGGAAAGUGUCUCUAGAAGACAAAU
RNAcentral lists this non-coding RNA (801 nucleotides) under Scolytinae sp. BMNH 1274299. Lineage: Eukaryota; Metazoa; Arthropoda; Insecta; Coleoptera; Curculionidae. The record is from RNAcentral.